AGAGUUUGAUCAUGGCUCAGGAUGAACGCUAGCGGCAGGCCUAAUACAUGCAAGUCGAACGGGGCAGCAAUGCUCAGUGGCGCACGGGUGCGUAACGCGUAUGCAACCUACCUUUCAGUGGGGGAUAGCCCGGGGAAACCCGGAUUAAUACCGCAUAAUAUAAUUUGAUGGCAUCAUUAGAUUAUUAAACAUUUAUGGCUGAAAGAUGGGCAUGCGUUAGAUUAGCUAGUUGGUGAGGUAGCAGCUCACCAAGACGAUGAUCUAUAGGGGUUCUGAGAGGAAGAUCCCCCACACUGGUACUGAGAUACGGACCAGACUCCUACGGGAGGCAGCAGUAGGGAAUAUUGGGCAAUGCUCGCAAGAGUGACCCAGCCAUGCCGCGUGCAGGAAGAAGGCCUUCUGGGUUGUAAACUGCUUUUGGAAGGGAACAAAACGGGCAUGCGUGCCAACUUGAGUGUACCUUCAGAAUAAGCACCGGCUAACUCCGUGCCAGCAGCCGCGGUAAUACGGAGGGUGCAAGCGUUGUCCGGAUUUAUUGGGUUUAAAGGGUGCGUAGGCGGCUUAUUAAGUCAGGGGUGAAAGACUGCAGCUCAACUGUAGCAGUGCCUUUGAUACUGAUGAGCUUGAGUACAGAUGAGGCUGGCGGAAUGGGUGGUGUAGCGGUGAAAUGCAUAGAUACCAUCCAGAACACCGAUUGCGAAGGCAGCCGGCUAAACUGUAACUGACGCUGAGGCACGAAAGCGUGGGGAUCGAACAGGAUUAGAUACCCUAGUAGUCC
Molecule: ribosomal RNA, 778 nt
Filed under: uncultured bacterium
Lineage: Bacteria
Description: bacterial SSU rRNA
Rfam family: Bacterial small subunit ribosomal RNA
Source: RNAcentral